This 400-nucleotide ribosomal RNA is filed under the name uncultured bacterium. RNAcentral describes it as "bacterial SSU rRNA". It matches the Rfam family "Bacterial small subunit ribosomal RNA", at positions 355 to 772 of the family's 1533-position model. The record is from RNAcentral.
UGGGGAAUAUUGCACAAUGGGGGGAACCCUGAUGCAGCAAUGCCGCGUGGGUGAAGAAGUACCCCGGUAUGUAAAGCCCUGUCAGCAGGGAAGAAAAUGACGGUACCUGACUAAGAAGCCCCGGCUAACUACGUGCCAGCAGCCGCGGUAAUACGUAGGGGGCGAGCGUUAUCCGGAUUUACUGGGUGUAAAGGGAGCGCAGGCGGCGUGGCAAGUCAGAUGUGAAAACCCGGGGCCCAACCCCGGGACUGCAUUUGAAACUGCCAUGCUGGAGUGCCGGAGAGGCAAGUGGAAUUCCUAGUGUAGCGGUGAAAUGCGUAGAUAUUAGGAGGAACACCAGUGGCGGAGGCGGCUUGCUGGACGGUAACUGACGCUGAGGCUCGAAAGCGUGGGGAGCAAA